CCUGCCUGUAAGACUGGGAUAACUUCGGGAAACCGAAGCUAAUACCGGAUAGGAUCUUCUCCUUCAUGGGAGAUGAUUGAAAGAUGGUUUCGGCUAUCACUUACAGAUGGGCCCGCGGUGCAUUAGCUAGUUGGUGAGGUAACGGCUCACCAAGGCAACGAUGCAUAGCCGACCUGAGAGGGUGAUCGGCCACACUGGGACUGAGACACGGCCCAGACUCCUACGGGAGGCAGCAGUAGGGAAUCUUCCGCAAUGGACGAAAGUCUGACGGAGCAACGCCGCGUGAGUGAUGAAGGCUUUCGGGUCGUAAAACUCUGUUGUUAGGGAAGAACAAGUACAAGAGUAACUGCUUGUACCUUGACGGUACCUAACCAGAAAGCCACGGCUAACUACGUGCCAGCAGCCGCGGUAAUACGUAGGUGGCAAGCGUUAUCCGGAAUUAUUGGGCGUAAAGCGCGCGCAGGCGGUUUCUUAAGUCUGAUGUGAAAGCCCACGGCUCAACCGUGGAGGG
RNAcentral lists this ribosomal RNA (511 nucleotides) under Priestia megaterium. RNAcentral describes it as "bacterial SSU rRNA". It matches the Rfam family "Bacterial small subunit ribosomal RNA", at positions 125 to 622 of the family's 1533-position model. Lineage: Bacteria; Bacillati; Bacillota; Bacilli; Caryophanales; Bacillaceae. The record is from RNAcentral.